RNAcentral lists this ribosomal RNA (276 nucleotides) under uncultured bacterium. RNAcentral's name for it is "partial 16S ribosomal RNA". It matches the Rfam family "Bacterial small subunit ribosomal RNA", at positions 82 to 354 of the family's 1533-position model. The record is from RNAcentral.
CCGUUGCCGGCGACCGGCGCACGGGUGAGUAACACGUAUGCAACCUGCCCGUGGCAGGGGGAUAAGCGGGGGAAACCCCGUCUAAUACCGCGUAACGCGGCCUAGGGACAUCCCAAGGCCGCCAAAGGGAGCAAUCCCGGCCACGGAUGGGCAUGCGGCGCAUUAGCUAGUCGGCGGGGUAACGGCCCACCGAGGCGACGCUGCGUAGGGGUUCUGAGAGGAAGGCCCCCCACACUGGUACUGAGACACGGACCAGACUCCUACGGGAGGCAGCAG